UACGGGGGGGGCAAGCGUUGUUCGGAAUUACUGGGCGUAAAGGGUUUGUAGGUGGCUUGCUAAGUCAGACGUGAAAUCCCUCAGCUUAACUGGGGAACUGCGUCUGAUACUGGAUGGCUUGAGUGUGGGAGAGGGAUGCGGAAUUCCAGGUGUAGCGGUGAAAUGCGUAGAUAUCUGGAGGAACACCGGUGGCGAAGGCGGCAUCCUGGACCAUUACUGACACUGAAACGCGAAAGCCAGGGGAGCAAACGGG
RNAcentral lists this ribosomal RNA (253 nucleotides) under uncultured bacterium. RNAcentral describes it as "partial 16S ribosomal RNA". It matches the Rfam family "Bacterial small subunit ribosomal RNA", at positions 524 to 776 of the family's 1533-position model. The record is from RNAcentral.